RNAcentral lists this small RNA (255 nucleotides) under Vigna angularis var. angularis. Its description in RNAcentral is "Non-protein coding transcript". The record is from RNAcentral. Lineage: Eukaryota; Viridiplantae; Streptophyta; Magnoliopsida; Fabales; Fabaceae.
UAACGAUUAAAAUUUUUUCCUCUUCGCGCUACUAGGAGUCUCUUGCAAUUUGACGUUCACUUCAUCACUGCUUAGCGCUGUUCCAAGGUUUCAUUCGCGCUGCUCCUUCGUUUCAUUCGCGCUCCUCCUCCGUUUCAUUCGCGCUGCUCCUCCGUUUCACCACUGGUUAGGGCUCUUCUCCUCUGUUUCAUCAGCUGCACUCCCGUUUUCAACAGUGUGUGUGGCCUUUGCUCCUUCGUUUUAGGACUUCCGUUU